Long non-coding RNA from Suricata suricatta (meerkat), 837 nucleotides. RefSeq lists it as uncharacterized. NCBI's taxonomy places the organism in Eukaryota, Metazoa, Chordata, Mammalia, Carnivora, Herpestidae. The transcript is spliced from 2 exons. The record is from RefSeq and is a predicted model, not a curated record.
GAAAAGGACUCCAGGCUACGCUUCCACUUCGACUUCCUGAAGAUCCCGUUAGUGACGGCGCAGUCCUUUCCGCUCCAGGGAUCGCGGAAGCACCCGCAUCGCCCAUUCUCAGCCGCACAGUGUUUCCACCUGCCGCUCUCGGCUCUAAAUUUCCUUACCAGAUGCGUGAGAUGGCUAUCCAGGACCGUGCCCUCAGACUACCUCAAGGAGGAGUUUCUCUUAGGAAGAGUAAACUAAAACCAAUUUGACAUGGAUUCAGGCAUGGUCCACCUUUUUUUUUUUUUUUAAAUCUCUGUAGGAUUAGUCAGUAAACUCUAGAUUUCAGAUCUCUUCUGUAAAAUCUAAAGAUAAGCGAACAGUGCCUUGACUGGGACUUGUCCUAAUGCAACCAACCAACCCCACAAAUUGAGAGGCUGUGAAGUGGCAAGAUUUGGGACAGGCUAAGAACUAUGCGAAAUAAAAGUAGAAACCUUGAAGGUGACCCCGAAUUAAAGUGGACAAGUAGACUAAUUUUUAACGCUGAGAAACAGAUACGUAAAUUCAUUAAUUUCAAAGACUAGUUCUACAUUCUUAAGAGAUUGGAGUUUAGUAUACUAGAUCAGACAUAAUUCUGACUUCUAUGUACACUCAAAAAUUAUAAAAUUUGUUUUAGAACAAGCCCUAUUUCUAGUUUAUCUUUGUUUCUUCAUGCCAAUGUUUGUGCCAGGUACUGUUGAAAGUGCUCAUCACCAAAUCUUCUUCCUCAGUGCAGCGAUACACUGUGUUCCCCAGCCUCCCUUGCUAUUAGCUGUAGCCAUCCAGAGUUACCUAAUUAAAAAAAAAUAAUUCCACGAUCAA